GCACCCCAAAACCCCCCCACCUGUUUCCCCCCUCGCAACCCCCCAUCUCCCCCCUCAUAUCAACAACCCCUGCCCACCACCAUCACCUCAGCAAAGUCUGUAGAGGGGCCGAAGUAGCCCCCCUCUCCUAAAUUCGCCCCUUAGCCCACCUGGCCGCCGUGUUACAGUGCAAACCACACGUGGACUCAUGUGAUGUAGCCAAGUGACAUUGUGUACAGACACUAAAGGGGGUAAUAAUGGCCGUGGAGGGCACCAGUGUCCAUGAAUCCUCCUCCCCAACAUCAAACCAUGAAAGUGAACACAACCUCCUCUUCCUCCCCGCCGAAAGGGAAGAUGGUGAAUUGGAGGAGGGUGAGCUCGAAGACGACGGAGGCGAGGAUGCCAGCCAUGUUCCCGCCGAGCCUCUGCCUCCGAAGGAGAAGGAGGAGAAACAUCACAGUGAAUCUGAGGAAGAGAAGUCGCACCGCAAACUGAAGAGAAAACGCAGAAAGGAGAAAGAGAAGCGAAAAGCAAAGAAGAAAAGAAAGUCAAAGCAUAAGCGUCAUGCAUCCUCCAGUGAAGACUAUUCUGACUAUAGUGAUGAGUCGGACUUCAGCCCGAGUGAAAAGAGUCAUCGCAAAUACAGAGAUUACAGCCCGCCAUACCCUCCGCCACACCAGCAGUACCCGCCACAUAAUGCCCCACCCCCCAAAAAGAGCUACCACAACAUGGACAGCAAGAACUACGGCAUGUACGACGAAUAUGAAAAUGACCAGUAUGGAGAGUAUGAAGAUGAGGAAGGAGAUGAUAUGGGUAAAGAAGAUUAUGAUGAUUUUGCUAAGGAGCUGAACCAGUACAGAAGGGCCAAAGAGGGCAGCCAUCGUGGCAGAGGAAUGAGAGGACGGAUUAAGUUGAUCCGAGGUCGGGGAAGAGGGAUGAUGCGUGGAAGAGGAGGCUAUAGGGGGAGGGGAGGCAGAGGGAGAGGUUACUCGGGAGAGGAACACCAAGAAGAUGAAGAGAUAUAUGAUGAAGAAAUGGAGUACGGCGAUGAGGAGAUGAUGGGCGAUGAAGAGUAUGAUGACUACUCAAAAGAGCUGAACCAAUACCGCAAAUCCAAAGGAGGCCGAGGUUUCUAUAGGCCUAGAGGACGUGGGCUCCGUGGGCGAGGAUUUAAGGGCAUGAUUCGUGGUAGAGGAAGAGGCAGAGGAAAAGGAAACGAUGAGGAUGAAUACUAUGAGGAAGAUGAUGGAGGAAUGUACAGAAAUGACUACGAUAAGUCGUACCACCGGCAUGACAAGAAAGGGAGAGUCAUCUGUAAAUACUUUGUGGAGGGCAGGUGCACCUGGGGGGAGCAUUGUAAUUUCAGCCAUGACGUGGAAGUACCAAGACGUCGUGGGCUUUGCAAAUUCUAUAUGACGGGUUACUGUGCCAGAGCAGAUAACUGUCCGUACAUGCACAAUGACUUCCCCUGUAAGGUAUUUCACACUACAGGCGGCUGUGUUAAUGGCGACGAGUGCAUGUUUUCUCAUGAGCCUCUGACGGGUGAGACCCAGGAAUUGCUUGAUAAGAUGUUGGCUGAAGAUGCAGAAGCUGGUGCAGAGGAUGAGAAGGAUGUGGAGGAAUUGAAGAAGCAGGGAAUAAAUCCUCUACCUAAACCACCCCCCGGAGUCGGGCUCCUUCCUACACCGUCUGCUCCUACGGGAUCUUCUGGGCAGUGUGAACCAUUGUCCCCAACAUCUAUUAUACCUAAUGCACCCAUAUUGACCUCUGACAAUUCUAACUCUGCCCCACUUCCUGGUGGUCCUGUAAUAGGUGGUCCAAUUCCUGGAGGACCAGUUUUAGAUAUCGAAAUGCCUGGAAGUCCUUUGUCAGGAGCUUGUGGGCCAGUUGAUGAAGGCCCUAUGCUUGGAGGUCUCGGUGGCCCAAUGCCUUGUGGCCCUAUGCCAGCUGGACAGAUGCUUGGUGAUCCUAUGGUUGGAAUUCCAGUUCCUGGAGAUCCCAUGUCAGGAGACCCAAUGCACCUGAUGCAUUUUGAGCCUGGUGAACCCUUAUCACCAGAAGGCCCAAUACCCCCUUAUCCAGGAGGCCCUAUGCAUCCCUACCAGGGAGGCCCUAUGCCAGUUGGACCUGGAGGUCCAGUCAUGCCCCCAAUGCCGGAUGGAGCUGGUGUUACAAUGCUUGGAAGCCCAGGUUCUGGAGGCCCAACAAUGGAGCAGAUGCCAGGAAGUCCCGAUUCUGGCUCUUUGGAUUCACAAAUGUGCCAACGAAAAAUACCUUCACUAUUUGAAAUUGUAGUGCGUCCCACUGCCCACUUGGCUCACAAAUUAGGUGUUAGACCACCUGGUCCACCAGGCGGGCCUCCAGGACCACCUCCACAAAGAUUUCCUGGACCAUUGCAUCCUGAAAUGGGUAUGGAAGAAGGUCCCCCUAUAAUGCCUUAUGGACCCGAAGAGGGCUCUGAACUUAUAGGCGAUGGUCCUCCUGCCCCAGACUUUUACGGCGAAUAUUAUCAAGACCCCAGUAUGGAAAUCGGCCCUAACAUGAUGGGAGACACAGGUGUCUAUGAAGAUUUUGGUGGGAUACUGGAAGACCCCCGACAGUUCCUUGAUCAGCCUCCAGAGCAGGGAUUAGAGAAUCCUGAUGCACCAUCCAAUUUCAACAAAGGAAAUAUCCCUGACUUUUUGCCCUCUGCCCAGCGUGCCCUUUUCUUGCGUAUCCAACAGAAGCAGCAAGAAGAAGAACGAGCAAAAAGGUCGGCUGGAAGCUCCCUGCAAGAAAAGGACAAUGAAGAAGGUGAUACCGGUAACUGGUACUCCAGUGAUGAGGAAGAAGGCGGAAGCAGUGUGACUUCAAUACUUAAGAAUUUGCGGCAGCAGUCUUCUAACCGCACUGCCCAGCAGGUCCCUGCAAGAGACGCUGGUGCAGGUGUUCAUGUUGAUCCCCGUUUGCAAAAGAGUCAGGCCAACACAGCCAGCCGCCCCACUGACCCACGUAUAUCUCGCGAUCCUCGCCUUUCGCGAAACGUUGAAUCCACCCCAGCUGAGGCAGGACCCACUGACCCAAGACUGGCCAGACAUGCACCCCAAUCCAAACAAGACUCCCCAGUUGGUAAAGUGUCUGCAGAAGAGGAUGAAACGGAGAGGCUUCUGCGUGAUAAAACCGUUACUAUACCUUUGGAUCCUCUCCCCGGCCAGACAUUGAGAGACCCACGCUCCCAGUUACAGCAAUUCAGCCACAUCAAAAAGGACGUAAGUUUGAGCAAGCCAAGUUUUGCCAGGACUGUUUUGUGGAGUCCUGAAGACCUUAUCCCGCUGCCCAUUCCCAAACAAGACUUCAUCCCAGUGCCAACUACACUACAGGCUAUACCAGUUGUUGAUCCUCGACUGAACCGUCCCGCCACCUCAGCUGCUCACGACCCACGUCAGCGGGCAUCUGCCCCUGAUGCACCAGCAGCUAAUUCUAGCCUCCCAGAUUUCGAACUGUUAUCUAGGAUUUUGAAGACUGUCAAUGCUGCCUCUGUAACGACGACCCCUGCACCAGCACCUGCCGAGAAACCUUGUGACCCCCGAACACGCAAACCACCGGCUGACCCGAGGCUGCAGAAAUCAGCAGAACCUCCAAGGCCUCCUGAGCCCAGUCAACCCCUCCCAAUAUUACCUGCUGCUGAAAGCACACCAGCCAUCGCCCCCUAUGAUCCCCGUCUGCUGACUGCGGGCGGGUUGAGCAAGCCUAGUGGUCAAAGUAAUGUUCUGAGCAGCAUCAGUUUGUAUGACCCCAGGACAGGGAGCAAGACCUCGACUGAAGCCGCGCCGAGCGAAACGGCAUCUAAGGGACCAGAGAACAAAACUGCCAGCUGCAGCAGAGAGGACCUGCCGGGCUCCGGUCCAAGCUGACAGUGCAGGAUUGCAUCCGUAGUUCUGGAAGGGGAAGUCCGGCAGCUUGUAGGACCAUCAUUCCUCUGCAUGAGGAGGAAAGCGGCUCAGAGCAUACAGCUACAGCAUCCUUGGAUUGUACUGCACCUUCCAUUUGGCCUGAAGAGGGCGCUCUUUCUCUGGAGUCAGUAAAAUUGUUUUGUGGAUAAUUUCACAUUUUCUAUACGGUUGUAGGGAAAAUUGUCUAACCUGUCAUAGCUGAGCCCGCUCUAUACACAGAGGAUCCCGUUAUAUAGCUGACACCUGCCAGGAUCGGAGAUCUGUAGAUUCCCAGCAGAGCACAUGGAGAAAUUCAGGCAAUCGUUAUCUCAUUACCCACUUCCCAAGCUCGGUGUAAGUGCAAAGGGGGAUCGAGGUUGGAUGAUGAACUUCAAGGGGCCGGUCACUUUUAGCUCCACAGGCUCUCAGCUUGGGCAGAGUCUUCAUCAGAUGAUGUCCUCUGUGGUAAGCCUCCUGAUGGCUUGCGGCUACGUCUUCUUCCUGCUUGCGCACCUCUUUCAGGCCUUUUAUGAGAUUGUGGCCUCGGUCCUGAGCUUCGUGCUGUCCGUGUGUCACAUAAUCACGUUUAUCAUCAUGUACUCAUCGGUUAUCAUAGUCAGAAUCUGGAAUUUUCUAUUCGUUGACCCAGGCCUGGUUUACUUUGUAUUGGACGUAUGCUGUGUCGUCCUACGUGGAAUACUUGGCGCAUGCUUUAUUAUAAUAUUGUUUUUGUCUGUUUUUUCUGUAUUUAUUGUUAUGGUAUCAAUCGCAUAUCAUUCACGCGUAACAGAAGAGAAACCUCACCACAAUAACUAUUAUUAUGGUGGAAUUAAGUAGAAUCACAUUAAGGUUUUUAGACAAACACAGCAAAUUGCACCAAAAGAGAGCAAAGAAAACUACUUCACAAACUGCAGCCAGGACCUGUACAUACAAUAUCAUGCAUGGUUGCCAACACUCUCAAAUUUACAGGGACUGUCCCUAAUUUUCAGAGACUUUGGGGAAGAUUUAACAAAAUUGGUGUAAAGGAAAACUGGCUUUGUUGCCCAUAGCAACCAAUCAGAUUGAUCCUUUCAUUUUUCACAGCUCCUUUGGAAAAUGGAAGGUGGAAUCUGAUUGGUUGCUAUGAGCAACUAAGGCAGUUUUCAUCUUGGCAAAAUUCUGUCCGUCUCAGGCCAAAAAUGGGCAGGACUUUGGUAGUCCCCGCCUAUGAGUGGGUGGUCCUGGAUGUUCCCAGGACUGCAGAAUAUGUUGGCGCUAUAUAAAUAAAGAUUAUUAUAUGUUCGGAAGAAAGGCAUCAAAGUGGGACAGAGUUAUCAAAACUGCCCAUAGCAACCAAUCACAGCACAGUUUUCAUUUUACCAGAGCCAGUUAAGAAAUGAAAGCUGAUCUCCUAUUGGUUGCUGUAGGCAGCAUGGACAGUUUUUUCUUUAGACAGCUUUGUAUAAAUGAGGCCUAUACAUUUUCUUUUCCCUUCACACAAAGGAGAAGAUUUAUUACAAGUGUCUAAAAGAAAGUCUCUGUUGCCCAUAGCAACCUAUCACAGAACAGCUUCCAUUUCUUAUAGUGAUCGUGAAAAAUUGAAGCUGUGCUGUGGUUGGUCACUAUGGGCAACAAAGAUAAUUUAUCAUUUAAACACUUUUAUAAAUCUCCCUCAAAGUGUUGACCUCUUAAAGGGGUUGUGCAGCACUAGUCUCCUCAGGAUACAUACUUACCAAUGUUUCAGUUGGUAAAAUCGGGACAUAUAAUCCCCGACCCGCACGGGAACACCUAUUUAUGGGCAGGGUUAUGUUAGCCACACCCAUUUUUGGCCUGGGGUAUUGCAAAUUUGCCGUGACUGUCUCUGAAAAUCAGGGACUGUCCCGCCAAUUUCUGGACAGUUGGCAACUAUGAGGAUAGGUAAUCAAUAUCUUAUCAGUGGGGGUCCAUCUCCUGGCACCCCGCUGACAGGGUUGCCAACCAUCCAGAAAUUUCUGGACAGUCCAUAAAAAUUGGUCACAUUUUUCCUCUGUCCGUGAAAAAAAAAAUGUGUCCAUGAUUUUUUUUAAACUGGUGGUAAUAAGCAUAAUUUUACAGCGCACAGUAAAUGCUGGUAAUGAAGUUUUAUCAUGUAAAAAAUGUUGUCCAUAAAAAAGAAAAAUUAUGGUUGGCAACCCUGCCCGUCGAUCAGCUGUUUGAAGAGGUGAGCACCACGGCCUCUUCACUUUUUAACUGAGCGCCAGGGGUGCACCACCAAUGAGGCCAGGUGAGGUGAUCGCCUCAGGGAGCACCAGGUAGGGGCAAGAGGGGGGCAGCAGAAGGGCCAUGGACAAUGAGCUCUUUCAUUGUGGCAAUGGAGUUAGGUUAAGAAACUGGCAUUGGGGGGGGGAUGGGUGCCAUUUUAGUUUUCGCCUCAGGCCACAGAAAGGCUAGGUGCACCCCUGCUGAGCACCAUCUAACUUGUAGCAGUCGUACAGAACUGCUCGUCCCGAUUAGCAGGCAGCUGCCAUCUUUGCAGGGCCAUUUAGGAGCGACCUUACAGCGAUAAACACGGGCUGCCUGGGCGUAUAUAGUCAAUGGAUGACCCGAGAAGUGGAAAAAAAUAGGUCAGAAUGAAAAAUUCAAUGUAGUCUUACUUACCUCACUGAUCCCUCACCGCUCCCAUUACAGUUCUGUUUGGUCUCUACUUCCUGGUCCCUCUCGACACAUGAAAUGUGACCGCUUACCAAUUACUGGCUUCUCUGGUGACCACCAUAGCUAUUGAUUAGCUGAGUGGUCGAGCACGACCAGGAAAAAAGAAACCAGGGGGGGACACGGGAAACGUUGGAAUGGGGGCAGCAGGGUUUGGUGAAGUGGGUAUCACUACUUUCUGACCCAUUUUCGGUACCUUCCGGACAAACCCUUUAAUUAGAGAGCUGUAGACCUUUUUAUUGUGCAUUGCUGCCAGGGGCCCCUCAAGUCAUAGGGACCCCGUUUUGAUUACUCCAUCUUCACCCUUUAUACUUAUGUUAGUUUAUGUAUCUUGUUUGCUUUAAUAAUAAUAAUAAUGAUUUCAUACUAUAAAAAUUUUAAUAAAUCACCAAACUGUGGUCAUACCA
This is an RNA transcript of Bufo gargarizans (Asiatic toad), 6964 nucleotides long. It is a transcript of the gene named zinc finger CCCH-type containing 4, with no coding region annotated. Lineage: Eukaryota; Metazoa; Chordata; Amphibia; Anura; Bufonidae. The transcript is spliced from 18 exons. The record is from RefSeq and is a predicted model, not a curated record.